AACGUAGGUGGCGAGCGUUAUCCGGAUUCAUUGGGCGUAAAGAGCUUGUAGGUGGCGGCGUAAGUUGGACGUGAAAUCGCCCGGCUCAACCGGGCGGGGUCGUUCAAUACUGCGCGGCUGGAGGAGGUCAGAGGGAAGUGGAAUUCCUGGUGUAGCAGUGAAAUGCGCAGAUAUCAGGAAGAACACCCGUGGCGAAGGCGGCUCUCUGGGACGGUACUGACGCUGAGACGCGAAAGCGUGGGGAGCGAACAGG
Molecule: ribosomal RNA, 253 nt
Filed under: uncultured bacterium
Lineage: Bacteria
Description: partial 16S ribosomal RNA
Rfam family: Bacterial small subunit ribosomal RNA
Source: RNAcentral